Molecule: long non-coding RNA, 531 nt
Organism: Ailuropoda melanoleuca (giant panda)
Lineage: Eukaryota; Metazoa; Chordata; Mammalia; Carnivora; Ursidae
Exons: 3
Source: RefSeq, a predicted model, not a curated record
CUGUCCAUCAUCUGGGUCAUAUAUAGUUCAAUGCGAGCUGAGCAGACAGGGCUGCAAGGAAAUCUGGCGCGGUUCAAUACCUCGUCUAGCCUGGGUUCCAGCAUCUAAUUUUUUUUUACUGACAAAUUCAUUUCUCUACCGGGACAGGAUGCUGUGCUGGCUGGAAGUUCCAUUUCUACAGCAAGAAUCCUAUCUGGAAACACAGAAGUUGUCCUCUAGCCACAGCAGCUUGAACUUUUUUGAUUGUUGUUGCUGCUUUCUCCCAUCACCCCCACCCCCUUUUGACAAAGAUCCAACUGUAAAAAGUCUUACGUAACAGUUCAGGACUACUUCGGUUCUUUUACUGGUAUAUCAAGAGGCCUCAUGAGGACUAUGAAAACAAUUACAUCUCCAAUGUGGGUUUCAGUAUUUCGUAGUAACUCUGGAAAAGGAAAAGAGGAAAGAACCUGUCUGAAAAACAGUGGAAUAACCCUGAACCUGAGGCACAGAAGAAAUCUCUUUGGAAACCUAUUCCACAGUGAAUUAUUCUAC